RNAcentral lists this ribosomal RNA (510 nucleotides) under uncultured bacterium. RNAcentral's name for it is "bacterial SSU rRNA". It matches the Rfam family "Bacterial small subunit ribosomal RNA", at positions 1003 to 1518 of the family's 1533-position model. The record is from RNAcentral.
GAGAUAGUCCUUUCUCUUCGGAGACCUCGGUGACAGGUGGUGCAUGGUUGUCGUCAGCUCGUGUCGUGAGAUGUUGGGUUAAGUCCCGCAACGAGCGCAACCCUUAUUGUUAGUUGCUACGCAAGAGCACUCUAGCGAGACUGCCGUUGACAAAACGGAGGAAGGUAGGGACGACGUCAAAUCAUCAUGCCCCUUAUGUCCUGGGCCACACACGUACUACAAUGGUGGUAAACAGAGGGAAGCAAGACCGCGAGGUGGAGCAAAUCCCUAAAAGCCAUCCCAGUUCGGAUCGCAGGCUGCAACCCGCCUGCGUGAAGUUGGAAUCGCUAGUAAUCGCGGAUCAGCAUGCCGCGGUGAAUACGUUCCCGGGCCUUGUACACACCGCCCGUCACACCAUGAGAGUCGGGAACACCCGAAGUCCGUAGCCUAACCGCAAGGGGGGCGCGGCCGAAGGUGGGUUCGAUAAUUGGGGUGAAGUCGUAACAAGGUAGCCGUAUCGGAAGGUGCGGC